CAGUCGCCGCGGGAAUACAGAGGGUGCGAGCGUUAAUCGGAUUUACUGGGCGUAAAGCGUGCGUAGGCGGCUUUUUAAGUCGGAUGUGAAAUCCCUGAGCUUAACUUAGGAAUUGCAUUCGAUACUGGGAAGCUAGAGCAUGGGAGAGGAUGGUAGAAUUCCAGGUGUAGCGGUGAAAUGCGUAGAGAUCUGGAGGAAUACCGAUGGCGAAGGCAGCCAUCUGGCCUAAUACUGACGCUGAGGUACGAAAGCAUGGGGAGCAAACAGGAUUAGAUACCCCUGUAGUCCCUGUCUCUUAUAC
This 301-nucleotide ribosomal RNA is filed under the name uncultured bacterium. RNAcentral's name for it is "partial 16S ribosomal RNA". It matches the Rfam family "Bacterial small subunit ribosomal RNA", at positions 509 to 807 of the family's 1533-position model. The record is from RNAcentral.